Molecule: long non-coding RNA, 779 nt
Filed under: Homo sapiens (human)
Lineage: Eukaryota; Metazoa; Chordata; Mammalia; Primates; Hominidae
Description: HSALNT0260760
Source: RNAcentral
CCCCUGUAGAAGGAGCACGCAAAGCCCGCUGUGAGCGAAGAACCUGCCUAAGACCCCAAGGGAAAGCAGCAGACCCUGGGGGUCUUGCAGUGUGUAGCGACAGAUUGAGGUGGGAAGCCAGGAAGGAUGGGGGUAUUUGAGCCAGGUAGCUUUUCAGAUACAGAGCAGAUGAGACCUGUCAGCCACCGAUGGACAUACUCAAGAGCAGAAGAGACUGUGGUCGGCAGAAUGGAAGAACAGUACUCCUGGGGAGGCACCACGACGGGCAUGGGGGUCCCUGUGCUGAGUGCUUUCUGCAAAGUCACAGCCUUGACUUUCCUCGUGGGAGGUGUGAGUUCCCUGUGUGUGCAGGGCCUGGACCCAGUAACCCAGUGACAGUGGUUACAGCUGUGGCAUCUGCGGGAUGUCUGAGAAUGAUGUAAGGAGAGGCCGUUCCCAGGCUCCAUGGCUCCCCUUAACAAUUGCACCUAUUGUUCGGAGAACCCCAGAUACUGCUGGCUUGGGAGUUUUUUUUUUUUUUUCUCCUUAUUGUUUUCUCCCUAAUUGUUUUCUUCUAGGAUUCUGUUAUUUGGGCCAUGGCUGCUUUCCACCCCCCAACUCCAGUAUUAUUGGAUGAGUUGAUUGAAAGAUACCCCUUAUCCUUCUUCAGACAAGCUCUCUUUCCCUGGUGUGGUUGCUGCUCUGAGUUAAGGGAACGGGAGAUGAUACUGACUAGAAAUUCAUCAGCCCCGGUGUUUACUACGUCCUAACCUCCGCCCCCACCCCAAGGCCACGACCGC